RNAcentral lists this long non-coding RNA (675 nucleotides) under Capra hircus (goat). RNAcentral's name for it is "lncRNA (ENSCHIG00000002019.1)". The record is from RNAcentral. Lineage: Eukaryota; Metazoa; Chordata; Mammalia; Artiodactyla; Bovidae.
CAAAGGAGAUGUGAUGCUGGGUCCCACCCCACCAUGUUGGCAGAAACGCUUCUCCAUCCUUCUUUCCCUUGGACCAGGGUCAGGCACAGAGGGAGCUGUGGGAAGCCUUCACCGAUGGUCCCCACGGGUCCGCUGCUGCAGCUAUUUCCAGGCCCGCAUGGACUGGGAGGGUAGGUGAUCCUGUGGCUCUCACAUCAGACCUGGGGACAAGCAGGGACACCUAUGGAGGCCUGUAGCUAGACCGUGGAAGCCCUCCCUGGAAGACCCUUUCCCCUGCUGGCCUUGGAAGUUCCUCAGGGCCCUCUUAUGCCCCCAGCCCUCUUUCUUCCCUCUCCAGGAAGGCCUGGCAAAAUCCAUCCAGGAAACCACGGGUGGAAGUUGUCUUCCUGCAUCUUCUGCUUUCAGGAAAUGCCUGGCUACCUUCAGAAUGAAGCACAGUUGAGCAUCUCACUAAGUCACGCUGCCCAGAAUGCUCAUCACUGGGAUGAGAUGAAGGUCUGUGACCCUUUGCCAGGGUGGGAGGAGACGCAGGUCCCUGCUGUGACCAUUAGACCACUUGGGAAUAAGUGUGUGGCUUUGGAGCUAAGAAAGAUCGAAAUAACUUGGACCCUUAAUACAGAGCCUGGCCCAGACACACGGCUGCUCCUUCUGUUAUGCACAUGUUCAGGCUGGUGA